This 70-nucleotide transfer RNA is filed under the name Eviota ocellifer (ocellated dwarfgoby). RNAcentral describes it as "tRNA-Ile". It matches the Rfam family "tRNA". From Rfam's summary of the family: Transfer RNA (tRNA) molecules are approximately 80 nucleotides in length. Their secondary structure includes four short double-helical elements and three loops (D, anti-codon, and T loops). Further hydrogen bonds mediate the characteristic L-shaped molecular structure. tRNAs have two regions of fundamental functional importance: the anti-codon, which is responsible for specific mRNA codon recognition, and the 3' end, to which the tRNAs corresponding amino acid is attached (by aminoacyl-tRNA synthetases). tRNAs cope with the degeneracy of the genetic code in two manners: having more than one tRNA (with a specific anti-codon) for a particular amino acid; and 'wobble' base-pairing, i.e. permitting non-standard base-pairing at the 3rd anti-codon position. The record is from RNAcentral. Lineage: Eukaryota; Metazoa; Chordata; Actinopteri; Gobiiformes; Gobiidae.
GGAGCCGUGCCUGAAUUAAAGGAUCACUUUGAUAGGGUGAAUUAUAGGGGUUAGAGCCCCCUCGCCUCCU